GGGUCUCCCUCUGUUGUCCAAGGCUGGAGUGUAGUAGUGCUAUCGCAGCUGACUGCAGCCUCAACCUUCCAGGCUGAAGCGAUCCUCCCACCUCAACCUCCCACGUGGCUGAGACUACAGGUGCUUGCCACUAUGCCCAACUAACAUUUGGAAUUUUCGUAUACGUGGAUUCCAGAGGGGUGACAGCGAAACGUGGGACCAUCCAGUUGCAGGAAAACAAGCUUAACACGCCCACUAAUUCUACAUUAUGCUCCUACCUCCCGGCAGCCUCUCCAGGCCCAGAACUUUCUCCAGUCAGCCUCUACAGACCAAGCUCAUGACUCACAAUGGCCUAUUUAGGCCCAUACCCUACGUCACGGCAGCCUCCGCAGAUGAGGCUACUGCCUCACAACAGCCUCCACAGGCACAGCUCCAUCGUUACAAUGGCCUCUUUAGACCCAGCUCCUGCCUCCCAGCCUUCUCUCCAGGCCCUGAACUUUCUCAAGUCGACCUCACCAGGCCCAGCUCAUGCUUCUUUGCAGCCUCUCCAGGCCCAGCUCCUGCAUCUUGGUGGCC
RNAcentral lists this long non-coding RNA (555 nucleotides) under Homo sapiens (human). RNAcentral describes it as "non-protein coding lnc-OR4F29-1:4". The record is from RNAcentral. Lineage: Eukaryota; Metazoa; Chordata; Mammalia; Primates; Hominidae.